GAUGAUGUAGCCAAGUGGUUAUGGGGAUUGAUUAGAUAUCAACUCCUCUUUGGGGGGGUAGGUUUGAAUCCUGCCAUCGUUG
Sphaerobolus stellatus SS14 is the source of this 82-nucleotide non-coding RNA. NCBI's taxonomy places the organism in Eukaryota, Fungi, Basidiomycota, Agaricomycetes, Geastrales, Sphaerobolaceae. The record is from Rfam.